AGAGUUUGAUCAUGGCACAGGACGAACGCUGGCGGCACGCUUAACACAUGCAAGUCGAACGAGAGAAGAGGAGCUUGCUUUUCUGAUCUAGUGGCGGACGGGUGAGUAACACGUGAGCAAUCUGCCUUUCAGAGGGGGAUACCGAUUGGAAACGAUCGUUAAUACCGCAUAACAUAAUUGAACCGCAUGAUUUGAUUAUCAAAGAUUUAUCGCUGAAAGAUGAGCUCGCGUCUGAUUAGCUAGUUGGUAAGGUAACGGCUUACCAAGGCGACGAUCAGUAGCCGGACUGAGAGGUUGAUCGGCCACAUUGGGACUGAGACACGGCCCAGACUCCUACGGGAGGCAGCAGUGGGGAAUAUUGCACAAUGGAGGAAACUCUGAUGCAGCGAUGCCGCGUGAGGGAAGGAGGUUUUAGGAUUGUAAACCUCUGUCUUCAGGGACGAAAAAAGACGGUACCUGAGGAGGAAGCUCCGGCUAACUACGUGCCAGCAGCCGCGGUAAUACGUAGGGAGCGAGCGUUGUCCGGAAUUACUGGGUGUAAAGGGAGCGUAGGCGGGAUCGCAAGUCAGAUGUGAAAACUAUGGGCUUAACCCAUAAAUUGCAUUUGAAACUGUGGUUCUUGAGUGAAGUAGAGGUAAGCGGAAUUCCUAGUGUAGCGGUGAAAUGCGUAGAUAUUAGGAGGAACAUCAGUGGCGAAGGCGGCUUACUGGGCUUUAACUGACGCUGAGGCUCGAAAGCGUGGGGAGCAAACAGGAUUAGAUACCCUGGUAGUCCACGCCGUAAACGAUGAUUACUAGGUGUGGGGGGACUGACCCCUUCCGUGCCGCAGCAAACGCAAUAAGUAAUCCACCUGGGGAGUACGACCGCAAGGUUGAAACUCAAAGGAAUUGACGGGGGCCCGCACAAGCAGUGGAGUAUGUGGAUUAAUUCGAAGCAACGCGAAGAACCUUACAGGUCUUGACAUCGUAUGCAUAGCUCAGAGAUGAGUGAAAUCUCUUCGGAGACAUAUAGACAGGUGGUGCAUGGUUGUCGUCAGCUCGUGUCGUGAGAUGUUGGGUUAAGUCCCGCAACGAGCGCAACCCUUACUGUUAGUUGCUACGCAGGAGCACUCUAGCAGGACUGCCGUUGACAAAACGGAGGAAGGUGGGGAUGACGUCAAAUCAUCAUGCCCCUUAUGACCUGGGCCUCACACGUACUACAAUGGCUGUCAACAGAGGGAAGCAAAGCCGCGAGGUGGAGCGAACCCCUAAAAGCAGUCUUAGUUCGGAUUGUAGGCUGCAACCCGCCUACAUGAAGUCGGAAUUGCUAGUAAUCGCAGAUCAGCAUGCUGCGGUGAAUACGUUCCCGGGCCUUGUACACACCGCCCGUCACGCCAUGGGAGUCGGUAACACCCGAAGCCUGUAGUCUAACCGCAAGGAGGACGCAGUCGAAGGUGGGAUUGAUGACUGGGGUGAAGUCGUAACAAGGUA
This 1469-nucleotide ribosomal RNA is filed under the name metagenome. Its description in RNAcentral is "bacterial SSU rRNA". It matches the Rfam family "Bacterial small subunit ribosomal RNA". The record is from RNAcentral.